RNAcentral lists this long non-coding RNA (691 nucleotides) under Salvator merianae (Argentine black and white tegu). RNAcentral's name for it is "lncRNA (ENSSMRG00000006043.1)". Lineage: Eukaryota; Metazoa; Chordata; Lepidosauria; Squamata; Teiidae. The record is from RNAcentral.
CCCAAGUCCNUCUUCACCUUUGUCACAUUGGGCAAGUCACAUUCUUGCCAAUAUCAAGAAUAUGGGAGUCAUGUUUCUCNUCAUUACGCUUCAUUAGGCUCUCUCAUUGUUUGCUUUUUCUACAAAAAAAAAAAAAGGGAAAGAACAAGAAAGUAUUCUUACGGGAAAGCGUUUCGGUGCAGUGACCCAGGGGACUAUCUGGAGGAAAUUUCUUCAUUAUAAAAGGUGCGCACUGGGAUACUUCACGCUUGUGGCUGCUGAAAUGGACAGAUUUUCAACCUUGACGCUGCUGCUCCUGCUCCUCGGAACCUUUUGCUGUUUGGCCAAGGAGAAAGGUAGAAGACACCAUGUUAGCCAUGGAGAAAGAGCAGUCGGCAGAUCUAAACCAACCCUAUUAAACUGGUUUGAACACUGCGGUUGUUCAGGUCCACGAGGCUCUGAGAAGCAAAACAAGAACAGGACAAGAUGUCCUUGUGACGCUGUCAAGAUUUCACCAUCAGAACAUUCCCAUCACCGUCACGAUGGCAGGAUAAAGCGGUAUUUGCAUCAUAAGAAACAGCAGUGCCAGAUGUUCCAAAAUUAUUGCCAUCUGAAGCGGCUCCAAAUCCCCCUGUAAUUUUCUCUGCCUCCAGAAUUCUGGGGCGCAUCAGGAGUUUUGUAUUUUUUUAAUAAAUACAUAUAUGCAUGUGUG